RNAcentral lists this ribosomal RNA (463 nucleotides) under uncultured bacterium. Its description in RNAcentral is "partial 16S ribosomal RNA". It matches the Rfam family "Bacterial small subunit ribosomal RNA", at positions 28 to 507 of the family's 1533-position model. The record is from RNAcentral.
GAUGAACGCUGACAGAAUGCUUAACACAUGCAAGUCUUUGGCGAAGCUGUGCUUGCACAGCCUAGCCAAGGCGGACGGGUGAGUAACGCGUAAGGAACUUGCCCUGCAGUCAGGGAUAACAGACGGAAACGACUGAUAAGACCUGGUAAAGUCAGGCGGACUCAUGUCCAGCCUGAUGAAAAGAGAUGCUGCAGGAGAGCCUUGCGUCCUAUUAGCUUGUUGGUGGGGUAACGGCCCACCAAGGCGAUGAUAGGUAGCCGGCCUGAGAGGGUGGACGGCCACAAGGGGACUGAGAUACGGCCCUUACUCCUACGGGAGGCAGCAGUGGGGAAUAGUGGACGAAGGGGGCAACCCUGAUCCAGCAAUUCUGUGUGCACGAUGAAGGUUUUCGGAUUGUAAAGUGCUUUCAGCAGGGAAGAAAAAAAUGACGGUACCUGCAGAAGAAGCGACGGCUAAAUACGUG